GAAUAAAGAAUGAAGACUCAACGGAAUAGGAAUAAAAUUUAAAAGAAUAGUUACUGGCGGUCCUCAACCCUUCUAGAGGUACAUGUGAAGUGGAAUGAAUCUACACAAAAACCUCUUUACUUUUUCGAAUAGAGCAUUUUGCACACCACUGUCUGAAAAAAGAAGGAAUCUCUUUUUAAUCUAAAAGUAUUAGAGUAAGGCAAGCAAACGUGCAGACUAUAAAAGUAAACUCAUGUGUUCCAAUUUGAAUGAUGGUUUAAUAACUUAAAAGGGGAAAUAAAUAAGAGAAUUUAGGAGUAAAAAAAGUUUAUAAAACUUUUUUGAAUACAGGCGCUAGAGGACGU
RNAcentral lists this ribosomal RNA (344 nucleotides) under Lunaceps actophilus. RNAcentral's name for it is "partial 12S ribosomal RNA". Lineage: Eukaryota; Metazoa; Arthropoda; Insecta; Psocodea; Philopteridae. The record is from RNAcentral.